This is a non-coding RNA of Triticum aestivum (bread wheat), 72 nucleotides long. NCBI's taxonomy places the organism in Eukaryota, Viridiplantae, Streptophyta, Magnoliopsida, Poales, Poaceae. The record is from Rfam.
GGUUCCAUGGUCUAGUAGUUAGGACAUUGAACUCUGAAUCCAGUAACCUGAGUUCAAGCCUCCGUGGGACCU